Molecule: ribosomal RNA, 508 nt
Filed under: uncultured bacterium
Lineage: Bacteria
Description: partial 16S ribosomal RNA
Rfam family: Bacterial small subunit ribosomal RNA
Source: RNAcentral
GACGAACGCUGGCGGCGUGCCUAAUACAUGCAAGUCGAACGCUUCUUUCCUCCCGAGUGCUUGCACUCAAUUGGAAAGAGGAGUGGCGGACGGGUGAGUAACACGUGGGUAACCUACCCAUCAGAGGGGGAUAACACUUGGAAACAGGUGCUAAUACCGCAUAACAGUUUAUGCCGCAUGGCAUAAGAGUGAAAGGCGCUUUCGGGUGUCGCUGAUGGAUGGACCCGCGGUGCAUUAGCUGGUUGGUGAGGUAACGGCUCACCAAGGCCACGAUGCAUAGCCGACCUGAGAGGGUGAUCGGCCACACUGGGACUGAGACACGGCCCAGACUCCUACGGGAGGCAGCAGUAGGGAAUCUUCGGCAAUGGACGAAAGUCUGACCGAGCAACGCCGCGUGAGUGAAGAAGGUUUUCGGAUCGUAAAACUCUGUUGUUAGAGAAGAACAAGGACGUUAGUAACUGAACGUCCCCUGACGGUAUCUAACCAGAAAGCCACGGCUAACUACGUG